Molecule: ribosomal RNA, 464 nt
Filed under: uncultured bacterium
Lineage: Bacteria
Description: partial 16S ribosomal RNA
Rfam family: Bacterial small subunit ribosomal RNA
Source: RNAcentral
GACGAACGCUGGCGGCGUGCUUAACACAUGCAAGUCGAACGGAAAGGCCCUGCUUGCAGGGUACUCGAGUGGCGAACGGGUGAGUAACACGUGGGUGAUCUGCCCUGCACUUCGGGAUAAGCCUGGGAAACUGGGUCUAAUACCGGAUAGGAGCCAUUCUUAGUGUGAUGGUUGGAAAGUUUUUUCGGUGUGGGAUGAGCUCGCGGCCUAUCAGCUUGUUGGUGGGGUAAUGGCCUACCAAGGCGGCGACGGGUAGCCGGCCUGAGAGGGUGGACGGCCACAUUGGGACUGAGAUACGGCCCAGACUCCUACGGGAGGCAGCAGUGGGGAAUAUUGCACAAUGGGCGCAAGCCUGAUGCAGCGACGCCGCGUGGGGGAUGACGGCCUUCGGGUUGUAAACUCCUUUCGCUAGGGACGAAGCUUGUUGUGACGGUACCGAGAUAAGAAGCACCGGCUAACUACGU